This 459-nucleotide ribosomal RNA is filed under the name uncultured bacterium. RNAcentral describes it as "partial 16S ribosomal RNA". It matches the Rfam family "Bacterial small subunit ribosomal RNA", at positions 338 to 795 of the family's 1533-position model. The record is from RNAcentral.
CCUACGGGAGGCAGCAGUGAGGAAUAUUGGUCAAUGGCCGGAAGGCUGAACCAGCCAAGCCGCGUGAAGGACGAAGGUGCCAAGCAUUGUAAACUUCUUUUGUCAAGGGACAAAAUCAGGCUCGAGAGCCUGACCGGGGGUACUUGAAGAAAAAGCAUCGGCUAACUCCGUGCCAGCAGCCGCGGUAAUACGGAGGAUGCGAGCGUUAUCCGGAUUUAUUGGGUUUAAAGGGUGCGUAGGCGGAUUUUUAAGUCAGCGGUAAAAUGUCCGGGCUCAACCCGGGCCGGCCGUUGAAACUGGGGAUCUUGAGUGGGCGAGAAGUAUGCGGAAUGCGUGGUGUAGCGGUGAAAUGCUUAGAUAUCACGCAGAACCCCGAUUGCGAAGGCAGCCUGCCAAGCCAUGACUGACGCUGAUGCACGAAAGCGUGGGGAUCAAACAGGAUUAGAUACCCGAGUAGUC